GGUGAACGCUAGCGGUGCGCCUAACACAUGCAAGUCGAGCGAGAACUUUUCUAGCUUGCUAGAAAACAGAAAGCGGCGAACGGGUGAGUAACACGUUGGAAUCUGCCCCCAAGUCAGGGAUAGCCAUUGGAAACGAUGAUUAAUACCGGAUGUGCUCUACGGAGUAAAAAUUUAUUGCUUGGGGAGGAUCCUGCGGUCUAUCAGCUAGUUGGUAAGGUAAAAGCUUACCAAGGCAAUGACGGAUAUCUGGUCUGAGAGGAUGAUCAGACACAAUGGAACUGAGACACGGUCCAUACUCCUACGGGAGGCAGCAGUGAGGAAUCUUCCACAAUGGACGAAAGUCUGAUGGAGCGACACCGCGUGAAGGAUGACGGCCUAACGGUUGUAAACUUCUUUUCUGAAGGAGCAUAAUGAGAGUACUUCAGGAAUAAGGGACGGCUAAUUACG
RNAcentral lists this ribosomal RNA (447 nucleotides) under uncultured bacterium. Its description in RNAcentral is "bacterial SSU rRNA". It matches the Rfam family "Bacterial small subunit ribosomal RNA", at positions 28 to 505 of the family's 1533-position model. The record is from RNAcentral.